RNAcentral lists this long non-coding RNA (817 nucleotides) under Bos indicus x Bos taurus (hybrid cattle). Its description in RNAcentral is "lncRNA (ENSBIXG00000028695.1)". The record is from RNAcentral. Lineage: Eukaryota; Metazoa; Chordata; Mammalia; Artiodactyla; Bovidae.
CACUGUGCUUAAAAAGGGAUUGAACAGCUGUCGUCAGGAUCCUCGAACUGUUGGCCUGAUCUUGAACUGAGUGUGGGUGGGACUUCUCCCACGACCUCUGACACCUCGACCUCUGACAACACAAAAUUCCCUAGAGUGAUUUAUCUCACAAAUAGCAAAGUAGAGAGAAAGGCAAUGAAAAUUACUGACUUCGGUAUUUGUCUAGAUUUCUGACUCUACGAUGGGUAAAAGCAGUGUGGAUUUGUCCAGUCAGCCACGGUUCGUGAAGCGCAGGGGCCUGGCCAGCAGUCCGGGAACGUCUACCACCCCACGCCCAGGACGUCAUCCCCCACCUGGACCCACGCUGCCCCUUCCUGCCCUUGCGAGAGUCAAAACUCCUGGGGCAAGUCCGACGAUCUCCCGUCCAGCAAGUAUCAUUUCCUGCAAGCACAAGGAUGACAAUGACGAGUAUAAACCACCGCUGAGCCAGACGGCACAGAUGGACGAGCAGGCGCACUGCAGGGCUGCGCGGGCGUCGGCACAGCGUGGAGAGCAGUGUGAGCACCAGGACCCCGAGCUCAGACUUGCAAGUGGAAGGACAGUCGGCCCUGUAAGGAAGAGGUCCUCUCCCCUUGAUGGAAGGAGUGCAGCCUCUGUCCCACCGCUCUGGUGCCAGAGCUGCAGGCUGUUCUCAGGGACAGUGAGGGGAGGGCAUCCACAGGGCAUGAGGGAACAGUGUGGGGAGGGCGUCCACAGGGCGUCAGGGGACAGUGAGGGGAGGGCGUCCACAGGGCAUGAGGGAACAGUGUGGGGAGGGCGUCCACAGGGCGUCAGGUGA